CCUACGGGAGGCUGCAGUAGGGAAUAUUAGAAAUGGACGAAAGUCUGAUCUAGCAACACCGCGUGUGCGAAGAAGGCCUUCGGGUCGUAAAGCACUUUUUGGAAGGAAUAGGAAGGAAUGUACUUCCAGAAUAAGUCUCGGCUAACUACGUGCCAGCAGCCGCGGUAACACGUAGGAGGCAAACGUUAUCCGGAUUUACUGGGCGUAAAGCGCGUGUAGGUGGUACUGUAAGUAGGGCGUGAAAGCUACUGGCUCAACUGGGAGAGGCCGUUCUAAACUACAGAACUAGAGGGUGGUAGAGGGAGGUGGAAUUCCAGGUGUAGCGGUGGAAUGCGCAGAUAUCUGGAGGAACACCGGUGGCGAAGGCGGCCUCCUGGACCAUUCCUGACACUCAGACGCGAAAGCUAGGGUAGCAAACGGGAUUAGAUACCCGAGUAGUCC
Molecule: ribosomal RNA, 441 nt
Filed under: uncultured bacterium
Lineage: Bacteria
Description: bacterial SSU rRNA
Rfam family: Bacterial small subunit ribosomal RNA
Source: RNAcentral